Molecule: ribosomal RNA, 494 nt
Filed under: uncultured bacterium
Lineage: Bacteria
Description: partial 16S ribosomal RNA
Rfam family: Bacterial small subunit ribosomal RNA
Source: RNAcentral
GACGAACGCUGGCGGCGUGCUUAACACAUGCAAGUCGAACGGUGAAGCGCCUUCCUUUUUGGUGGGUGUGGAUGAGUGGCGAACGGGUGAGUAACACGUGAGUAACCUGCCCCCUUCUUCUGGAUAACCGCAUGAAAGUGUGGCUAAUACGGGAUAUUCUGGGUCUGUCGCAUGAUGGGUCUGGGAAAGAUAUUGUUUCGGUGGGGGAUGGGCUCGCGGCCUAUCAGCUUGUUGGUGGGGUGAUGGCCUACCAAGGCGGUGACGGGUAGCCGGCCUGGGAGGGUGGCCGGUCACACUGGGACUGAGACACGGCCCAGACUCCUACGGGAGGCAGCAGUGGGGAAUAUUGCACAAUGGGCGCAAGCCUGAUGCAGCGACGCCGCGUGAGGGAUGGAGGCCUUCGGGUUGUGAACCUCUUUCGCCAGUGAAGCAGGCCUGCCUCGUUUGUGGGUGGGUUGACGGUAGCUGGAUAAGAAGCGCCGGCUAACUACGUG